AACAAUCAACAACGAACCCAACAUCUAUUCUGAAGGAGGUUACAGAAACGAAGGCUAAAGAAGAGAACACAACUCCAGAACUCAAGCAAUCAAUCAAUCCCGAAGCCCCGUUAUUCUAUGCCAAGCAAGCAGUGAAUCCCGAAGCCCCCUUACUCUGUGCCAAGCAAGCAGUGAAUCCCGAAAGCCUGUUUUUUUAUGCCAAGCCAGCAAUGAAUCCCAAGGUCCCCAAGCAAGCAGUGAAUCCCGAAAGCCUGUUUUUUUAUGCCAAGCCAGCAAUGAAUCCCACCCCAAGCAAGCAGUGAAUCCCGAAGCCCCCUUAUUCUAUGCCAAGCAAGCAGUGAAUCCCGAAGCCCCCUUACUCUAUGCCAAGCAAGCAGUGAAUCCCGAAAGCCUGUUUAUCUAUGCCAAGCCAGCACUGAAUCCCAAGGUUCCCAAGCAAGCAGUGAAUCCCGACAGCAAUGAAUCCUGAGGUCCCCAAACAAGCACUGAAUCCUGAGGUCCUGCUUCUCUAUGCCAAGCAGUGAGUAUGAAUGUAUGUGAAACUGGAUUUCUUUUUCGUGUGUGUGUAACCACCAACGUCCUGAAGUUUCAAAAUAAAAAUGAUAUUAUGAAAUAUUUCGAAUGGGGUUGAGGCUGUCAACUUUAUAAGACCAACUUUAGCAAACUCUAAAUCCAGAUGUAUGAUAUAUUAGUUAAUUGUCGACAGUAUGUAAGAUGAUA
RNAcentral lists this long non-coding RNA (720 nucleotides) under Selaginella moellendorffii. Its description in RNAcentral is "long non-coding RNA (SMOE_LNC002117)". The record is from RNAcentral. Lineage: Eukaryota; Viridiplantae; Streptophyta; Lycopodiopsida; Selaginellales; Selaginellaceae.